GGAGGUAUAGCUCAGUGGUAGAGUAUGAACUUAGCAUGUACAAGGCCAGGGUUCAAUCCACAGCCACCUCCA
Molecule: transfer RNA, 72 nt
Filed under: Fukomys damarensis (Damara mole-rat)
Lineage: Eukaryota; Metazoa; Chordata; Mammalia; Rodentia; Bathyergidae
Rfam family: tRNA
About the family: Transfer RNA (tRNA) molecules are approximately 80 nucleotides in length. Their secondary structure includes four short double-helical elements and three loops (D, anti-codon, and T loops).
Source: Rfam by way of RNAcentral